RNAcentral lists this ribosomal RNA (253 nucleotides) under uncultured bacterium. RNAcentral describes it as "partial 16S ribosomal RNA". It matches the Rfam family "Bacterial small subunit ribosomal RNA", at positions 524 to 776 of the family's 1533-position model. The record is from RNAcentral.
UACGAAGGGGGCUAGCGUUGCUCGGAAUUACUGGGCGUAAAGCGCACGUAGGCGGUCUUUUAAGUCGGGGGUGAAACCCUGGAGCUCAACUCCAGAACUGCCUUCGAUACUGGAAGACUUGAGUCCGGGAGAGGUGAGUGGAACUGCGAGUGUAGAGGUGAAAUUCGUAGAUAUUCGCAAGAACACCAGUGGCGAAGGCGGCUCACUGGCCCGGUACUGACGCUGAGGUGCGAAAGCGUGGGGAGCAAACAGG